RNAcentral lists this long non-coding RNA (247 nucleotides) under Gossypium raimondii (Peruvian cotton). RNAcentral's name for it is "long non-coding RNA (GRAI_LNC010487)". Lineage: Eukaryota; Viridiplantae; Streptophyta; Magnoliopsida; Malvales; Malvaceae. The record is from RNAcentral.
GAGGAAGAAGGAGAUGAAGAGAUGGAUUUUGAGCAAGAUGAUUAGUUUUUAAAUUUUAUUUCGGGUUGUAUUAAAACAUAAGGAUGAUUUUUGUUUGUUUUAGGAUAGGAAUAAUUUUUUAGUUGUUUGGAUUUGUGUUUGUUUAUGAUUUUCUCUGUAGGAACCCCACAUAAAGGAGACACAAACAAUUUGAGCUUUACAUGAACAAGGGAGGAAGCACCCACCAUUAACAGUUAGAGAAACCACG